ACUCCUACGGGAGGCAGCAGUGGGGAAUUUUGCGCAAUGGGGGAAACCCUGACGCAGCAACGCCGCGUGAGUGAUGAAGGCCCUUGGGUCGUAAAGCUCUGACAGAGGGAAAGAAGUGUAGAGUGGCUAAUAUCCACAUUACUUGACGGUACCCUCAAAGGAAGCACCGGCUAACUCCGUGCCAGCAGCCGCGGUAAUACGGGGGGUGCAAGCGUUGUUCGGAUUUAUUGGGCGUAAAGCGCGUGUAGGCGGUUUUAUAAGUCUGAUGUGAAAGCCCUGGGCUCAACCCGGGAAGUGCAUUGGAUACUGUAAGACUUGAAUACGGGAGAGGGCAGUGGAAUUCCUAGUGUAGGAGUGAAAUCCGUAGAUAUUAGGAGGAACACCGGUGGCGAAGGCGGCUGCCUGGACCGAUAUUGACGCUGAGACGCGAAAGCGUGGGUAGCAAACAGGAUUAGAUACCCUGGUAGUCCACGCCGUAAACGAUGAGAACUAGGUGUCGCGGGUA
This 505-nucleotide ribosomal RNA is filed under the name uncultured Geobacter sp. Its description in RNAcentral is "bacterial SSU rRNA". It matches the Rfam family "Bacterial small subunit ribosomal RNA", at positions 335 to 831 of the family's 1533-position model. The record is from RNAcentral. Lineage: Bacteria; Pseudomonadati; Thermodesulfobacteriota; Desulfuromonadia; Geobacterales; Geobacteraceae.